Molecule: long non-coding RNA, 1041 nt
Organism: Schistocerca cancellata (South American locust)
Lineage: Eukaryota; Metazoa; Arthropoda; Insecta; Orthoptera; Acrididae
Exons: 3
Source: RefSeq, a predicted model, not a curated record
GUAGUUUUCAAUUACAGUAUCAUGAAAGUUCCAUUUGAUUCUGCUCAGUUCUGUACUCUCACAACCUCCAAAUGCCAAAGGAAAUUUCUUAAAGUACUAAUUCUUACACAGAAAAUUUUCAGACUCAUAUCAAUUUAUUGGCUCACAGCAGCAAAAUACUAUGUUUCAUGUUUCACAACUGUAGUUUCCAUUACAAAGCUUCAGUCCCUCGUUGACUCAUGAAUGAACAAUUCAAAUGUUAAAAGAAAGUACUUAAAACAUUUGACCAUGUUAAUAUAACUUGUUUCACCUGUUUGUGUUCAUGGUUAAACUAUUGUAUGUAUGUGCUUAUACAGAAUGUACUUUGUGUAGAUGAGACUCCUUCAUCAGUCAUAAACCGUGUGGCAGACAAUAGCAAAGAGAAAAAUAGCAAUGAACCAGAGAAACUAUGUAAUGGUCAAGGCUCUAAUGCUUUGCCUGCUAUGAAAAGCAACAGAGUACAAAGUGUAGGUGACAAGAGAAAAUGUGAGGUGUAGAACAAUCCAGAGGUAGUACCACCAAAAAGGAUAAGAAAUGCAGUCAACUCAAAACAAAAGAAAGAAUUAGUUGACAGAAAUGUAAAGAAAACUAAAAAAGAAUGACAGCCAUCUGUACCUGGCUCAGACAAAGGUGUGAAUAGUGAUUUUUUAGAUGGCAAUAACUGUCUUCUAAUGACAUGAUGUAUGAGAACAAGAAUGGUGUUGUUGAUAAGAAUGAAGUUUCUCAUAGUAUCCAAUCAAGUAAUAAAAUAAGUUAUGGAAAAUUAAAGCCAGAUACUGCAGUACCAGUACUAGGCAAAAUUAGUAAAGAAUCCACCAAUGACGAAAAUAGUAAUUGCACCAUCAAGAACACAGAAAAUAUGAAAACAAGUGAUAUGAGCAAUGAUUUUACAGAUUUUCUCAGAAGACCCCCCACAUACCCUGAAGCAGAGGAAGAAACUGGCCAAAAUAGACAAAACACUAUCACAAAAUAACAAAAAAAAUUGGAUGUAUUUGAUGAAAAUAGCAGGGUGUUACGUUUAAG